GUAACAAGGUCUCCGUAGGUGAACCUGCGGAGGGAUCAUUACCGAGCGAGGGCUCCGGCCCGACCUCCCCACCCUUUUGUGAACCCCCCCCCGUUGCUUCGGGGGCGACCCUGCCGUCCGCGGCGGCGGCGCCCCCGGCGGCCGUCCAACACUGCGUCCGGCGCGUCGGAGUCUCGAGAGCAAAUGGAACAAAACUUUCAACAACGGAUCUCUUGGUACUGGCAUCGAUGAAGAACGCAGCGAAAUGCGAUAUGUAAUGUGAAUUGCAGAAUUCAGUGAAUCAUCGAAUCUUUGAACGCACAUUGCGCCCCCUGGCACUCCGGGGGGCAUGCCUGUUCGAGCGUCAUUUCACCACUCAAGCCUCGCUUGGUCUUGGGCGUCGCGGGUCUCCGCGCGCCCCAAAGUCCCCCGGCCGAGCGGCCCCGGCCCGGAGCGUUGCGAAACACUCGCUCCCGGGACGGGACCGCGGCGGCCGUCAAAACUCCCCACAAGGUUGACCUCGGAUCAGGUAGGGAUACCCGCUGAACUUAAGCAUAUC
This 538-nucleotide ribosomal RNA is filed under the name Dothideomycetes sp. 11353. RNAcentral describes it as "eukaryotic LSU rRNA". The stretch from base 193 to 346 matches the Rfam family "5.8S ribosomal RNA". The record is from RNAcentral. Lineage: Eukaryota; Fungi; Ascomycota; Dothideomycetes.